Molecule: ribosomal RNA, 484 nt
Filed under: uncultured bacterium
Lineage: Bacteria
Description: partial 16S ribosomal RNA
Rfam family: Bacterial small subunit ribosomal RNA
Source: RNAcentral
ACUCAAAUGAAUAGACGGGGACCCGCACAAGCGGUGGAGCGUGUUGUUUAAUUCGACGAUAAGCGAAGAACCUUACCAAGGUUUGACAUCCCACUAACUUCUCCGAAAGGAGAGGGUGCCUUCGGGCAGGUGGUGACAGGUGCUGCAUGGCCGUCGUCAGCUCGUGUCGUGAGAUGUUUGGUUAAGUCCAUCAACGAGCGCAACCCUUGUAUUUAGUUGAAUUUUUCUAGAUAGACUGCCCUGGUAACAGGGAGGAAGGAGGGGAUGAUGUCAGGUCAGUAUUGCCCUUACACCUUGGGCUACAAACACGCUACAAUGGCCAGUACAAAGGGCAGCCAACCCGCGAGGGGGAGCAAAUCCCAUCAAAGCUGGUCUCAGUUCGGAUUGCAGGCUGAAACUCGCCUGCAUGAAGCUGGAAUCGCUAGUAAACGUAGGUCAGCACACUACGUUGAAUACGUUCCCGGGUCUUGCACACACCGCCCGU